Vombatus ursinus (common wombat) is the source of this 2440-nucleotide long non-coding RNA. RefSeq lists it as uncharacterized. The record is from RefSeq and is a predicted model, not a curated record. Lineage: Eukaryota; Metazoa; Chordata; Mammalia; Diprotodontia; Vombatidae. The transcript is spliced from 3 exons.
GUGACCAGCCUCUGAGAGAAGUUCCCAGUGAUGGGAGGACGCCUGCCCAGCCCUGUGGCCCAGCCCUGGACAGCAGGGCUGGCUUUCUGGCAAGGCCCUGCCUGCCACAAGAGUCAGUCUGGGAUCUUAGAAUUGUGGCUUAAAAGUUGGGCAGGACCUGGAGACUCUGGAGUCCAGUCCCAAUGUGACAGGAUUAGAACCCGCUUCCUCUGUGCUCUCGCUAGGCAAUAUGUGACCUUGGGUCACAAGAGCCAGACCAGAGAGGACCCAGACGUCACCUGAUCCAACUUCCUUCUUUUAGAGGAAACUGAGGUCCAGAGAAGGGAAGUAGAGGAACCCCCAAAAGGAAGGGUGCCUGAGACCUCAGCCGGGGCCCUUGCCUGGUUAACGCCACCUGAGGUCAGUGGGACCUGAACAUCUGUUUUUUCCCAGCUCUAAUGGGGGUGUUGCGCCUUGCUGCUGUUUUGCUCGUCCUUCAUUUUGAAGAGGACCGUGACAUCAUGGAUUGACGAAUUGGGCAUGGGUUGGAUUGAAGUGAGGCAGAGCCGCACAAAGUCAUCUGCCUCACUGUCUCUUCCAGUCAUUAAAGCACAGUGGCAGGACCAAAGUCCAGAUGACCAUCAGCUUCCUCAACGAUGCAAUGGAAACCACCAUAGCACUUACCUCACAGGGUUGUGAGGAACAACCAAGAAAGUGUCCUUCUAGUGCUGAGCACAGUUCCUGGCACACAGUAGGCUUUUGGAAUCUCCUCCCCUUGAUCAAGACCACAAAAGAUGAUCUCUGAGAUGCCUACUUAAUGCACAUCCAAGCCACUUGGGGGAGCAGAUGCCUCAAAGAACUCAUGGCAACAUGCAAUACUGUGAAGAACACUGGUUCUGGGGUCAGAGGUCCUGGUUUCAAAUCCUACCAUGAACACUAUCUGUGUGACCUUGGGCAAAUACUUCAUUUUACCUUUCUAAACCUCAGUUUCCUCAUCUGUAAAAUGAGGGGGUUGGAGUAGAUGACUUCUGAGGUGCCUCCAAGACACAUGGUCCUAUGAUACUGGGAGACAAAAUGAUGAGUUAGCAGCAGGUGUCCCAAAUCUACUCUGUAUCUCAUGAGGCUGAGACAGGCCUGCUGUGCAGAUCACAUUGUUCUCUGAAAGCCAGCUGACCAGUCAGGAUGCUCUGGGAAUGAGCGUGCCCUUAGUGUUCCAGGACUGAGCAGAUGGGGAAUGGGCCACCUUGGCACCACCGUUAGAACAGAUCUGUAGAUGCAGACUAACGCUGAGCUCAACAAAUGUUAAGUGCCCCUCACUUAGCCAGGUACCGUGUCUGGCGCUGAGAGAGACACAAUACAGAUUCCCUGCCCUCAAGGAGCUCACAAUCCAGACAUGAUAACUUUGCUCAGACGCUCCCCAUCUCGGCAACGCGCUCCUUCCCCCUCUUUUCCCGUUGAAUCCCUACCCAUCCUUCAAAAGCUCACCCACAUGACACCCUUCACCAAACCUUCCCUGAUUCCCUCCCCUUCUUAGAUCACAAGGUCAUGGGGUCACUGAUCUGGAUCUAGUCCAAUCUGCCCAUUUGAUAGAUGAGGAAACUGAGGCUAAGAGAGAUGACUCGCCCAAGGUCAUAGAAGUAGUAACAGAUGUGGGGUCUGAACACCUGUCCUUUGUCUCCAAAGUCAGUGCUCUUUAUAUUAUACCACACCCAAGAUCAACAAGCAUUUAUGAAGCACCUACUAUGUGUCAGGACCCAUGCUAAGUACUGGGGAAACAAACAAACAAAAAAAGGCACAAAAUGGGCCCUGCCAUCCAGGAGCUCACAGACAACACGCAAACACUGUGUCCAAACAAGAUCUAGACAGGAUAAGGUGAAGAAAAUCAGCCAACGGGGAGGCACUUGCCUUGCUUGUCAACUGACUUCUGAGCGAGGUCUUUUCUAUAGACUGUCUGAGCCUUCAGAAAACAUCCGGGACGGCCUUUAAGCUGAUCUUCUCCACCUGCUCACGGCGUGUCUAAGCUAAACACAGAAAGGGCACCUCCACGGGAUUAUCUUAGCAUGAAUGUAGCUUUUGCAGCUUCCUGACAAAUAGGCUGAAAAGGCCUCGUUUGGAGUUGGGUGUGCUUGAAACGUCUCAGUUGUCCGGUGAACUCACAACCACCAUUCUGGAAUGUCCGCCGCAUUCAUCCAGAAGGACAAUAUCCGUUGUGUGCUGUCAGGUUUUGCUUUGUGGCUGCUCAUGGGUGUGCACAUGCCUGUGUGUGCACCUGUAUGUGGAUCUGCACUCUUGGCUGCACCACUCCCCUUGAAAACGACUGAUCUGACAGUUCUUUCCUUAGCAUGCUAUUCCUUCCUCUAAGUUGUGUGCCUCAACUGUAAGAUAGGAAUGAUAACAGCCCCUCCUUCACAGGGUUGUUAGCAGGAUAAAAUAAAAUAAUGAUUGUCAAGUACACACAGAA